RNAcentral lists this ribosomal RNA (887 nucleotides) under uncultured bacterium. Its description in RNAcentral is "bacterial SSU rRNA". It matches the Rfam family "Bacterial small subunit ribosomal RNA", at positions 96 to 953 of the family's 1533-position model. The record is from RNAcentral.
UGGCGAACGGGUGAGUAACGCGUGAGUAGCCUAUCCUUGAGUUGGGGAUAACACACUGAAAGGUGUGCUAAUACCCGGUAAGACUACGAUUCCUAUGGGGAUUGUAAGAAAAGGUGGCUUCUUCAUAGAAGAGGCUAUUGCUCAAGGAGGGGCUCGCGUACUAUUAGCUUGUUGGUAGGGUAAUGGCCUACCAAGGCGAUGAUGGUUAGCUGGUCUGAGAGGAUGGCCAGCCACACUGGAACUGAGACACGGUCCAGACUCCUACGGGAGGCAGCAGUGGGGAAUAUUGCGCAAUGGGGGAAACCCUGACGCAGCGACGCCGCGUGGGUGAAGAAGGCCUUCGGGUCGUAAAGCCCUGUCAGGUGGGAAGAAAGGGAAGGGGGUGAAUAAUCCCAUUCCUUUGACGGUACCACCAGAGGAAGCACUGGCUAACUCUGUGCCAGCAGCCGCGGUAAAACGGAGAGUGAGAGCGUUGUUCGGAGUUACUGGGCGUAAAGGGCGCGUAGGCGGUUUUAUAAGUCAGAGGUGAAAGCCCUCGGCUCAACCGAGGAAUGGCCUCUGAAACUGUGGAGCUUGAGUGCGAGAGAGGAGAGCGGAAUUCCCAGUGUAGAGGUGAAAUUCGUAGAUAUUGGGAGGAACACCGGUGGCGAAGGCGGCUCUCUGGAUCGCAACUGACGCUGAGGCGCGAAAGCGUGGGGAGCAAACAGGAUUAGAUACCCUGGUAGUCCACGCUGUAAACGGUGGUAUUAGGUGUUGUGGGGUAAUAAAUUCCUGCAGUGCCGAAGCUAACGCAUUAAAUACCCUCGCCUGGGGGAGUACGGCCGCAAGGUUAAAACUCAAGGGAAUUUGACGGGGGCCCGCACAGCGUGAGCAUGUGGUUUAACUCG